CGACUUAGCUCAGUUGGUAGAGCAUCGCUCUUGUAAAGCGGAGGUCGAAGGUUCGAACCCUUUAGUCGG
RNAcentral lists this transfer RNA (69 nucleotides) under Weissella thailandensis. It matches the Rfam family "tRNA". From Rfam's summary of the family: Transfer RNA (tRNA) molecules are approximately 80 nucleotides in length. Their secondary structure includes four short double-helical elements and three loops (D, anti-codon, and T loops). Lineage: Bacteria; Bacillati; Bacillota; Bacilli; Lactobacillales; Lactobacillaceae. The record is from RNAcentral.